This 450-nucleotide ribosomal RNA is filed under the name uncultured bacterium. RNAcentral describes it as "bacterial SSU rRNA". It matches the Rfam family "Bacterial small subunit ribosomal RNA", at positions 28 to 477 of the family's 1533-position model. The record is from RNAcentral.
GACGAACGUUGGCGGCGUGCUUAAUACAUGCAAGUCAACUGAAGCACCGGUAGUAAUACUGGUGUGGAGGUGGCGCACGGGUGAGUAACACGUAGGUAAUCUGCCUUCAGGUCUGACAUAACCCCGAGAAAUCGGGGCUAAUAGCAGAUGAUGCAGCGGCUUGACAUCAAGACAGUUGUUAAAGCUUCGGCGCCUGAAGAUGAGCCUGCGUCUGAUUAGCUAGUUGGCGGAGUAAUAGCCCACCAAGGCGACGAUCAGUAGCUGGUCUGAGAGGAUGAUCAGCCACACUGGAACUGAGACACGGUCCAGACUCCUACGGGAGGCAGCAGUAAGGAAUAUUGCUCAAUGGGAGAAAUCCUGAAGCAGCAACGCCGCGUGAGGGAUGAAGGGCUUUUGCUCGUAAACCUCUGUAGUGAGGGAAAAAUUUCCAUUCUAUGGAAUAUGAUGGUA